Molecule: ribosomal RNA, 450 nt
Filed under: uncultured Clostridium sp.
Lineage: Bacteria; Bacillati; Bacillota; Clostridia; Eubacteriales; Clostridiaceae
Description: bacterial SSU rRNA
Rfam family: Bacterial small subunit ribosomal RNA
Source: RNAcentral
UGGGAAUAUUGGGCAAUGGGCGAAAGCCUGACCCAGCAACGCCGCGUGAAGGAAGAAGGUUUUCGGAUUGUAAACUUCUUUAUCAGGGACGAAGAAAGUGACGGUACCUGAUGAAUAAGCCACGGCUAACUACGUGCCAGCAGCCGCGGUAAUACGUAGGUGGCAAGCGUUAUCCGGAUUUACUGGGUGUAAAGGGCGCGUAGGCGGGGAUGCAAGUCAGAUGUGAAAUCUAUGGGCUUAACCCAUAAACUGCAUUUGAAACUGUUCUUCUUGAGUAUCGGAGAGGCAAUCGGAAUUCCUAGUGUAGCGGUGAAAUGCGUAGAUAUUAGGAGGAACACCAGUGGCGAAGGCGGAUUGCUGGACGACAACUGACGGUGAGGCGCGAAAGCGUGGGGAGCAAACAGGAUUAGAUACCCUGGUAGUCCCUAGACUGCCAAGGGCACACAGGGG